Felis catus (domestic cat) is the source of this 73-nucleotide transfer RNA. It matches the Rfam family "tRNA". Rfam says of the family: Transfer RNA (tRNA) molecules are approximately 80 nucleotides in length. Their secondary structure includes four short double-helical elements and three loops (D, anti-codon, and T loops). The record is from Rfam. Lineage: Eukaryota; Metazoa; Chordata; Mammalia; Carnivora; Felidae.
GCCUGGCUGGCUCAGUCGGUGAAGCAUGAGACUCUUGAUCUCGGGGUUGUGAGUUCAAGCCCCAUGUUGGGUG